This 3959-nucleotide long non-coding RNA is filed under the name Olea europaea subsp. europaea. Lineage: Eukaryota; Viridiplantae; Streptophyta; Magnoliopsida; Lamiales; Oleaceae. The record is from RNAcentral.
GGGAUGCGUGAGAGGAGAAGCAAAACCUAGGCCUUGUAACAAAUUUCAAUGGACACACUAAUAGUGCAUCUUAUACAGCUUCUCCUCAUAUGUUAGAACCCAUAAAUUCGGUGAUAAUUUGCUGGGGAAGGUGGCGCACUCAGGCGAUAGACCCAAGGCUGAAGCCGUGCUUGUGUAUCUCCGGCACAUUUCCGAAGAUUUGACACCUAUCAACGGUACUUUCCUCUGUUUGUGAAGAAAAAAUCCACAUUUUUAAAGUCGGUCGUUUGUGAAAAUUUCUCGGGAAAGGUGGUUCACUCCGACGAUGAACUCGAAGCUGAAGCCGUGCUCGUGUAUCUCCGCCACGUUUCCGAAAAAAUUUGACGACUAUCAACGAUACUUUCCUUUGUUUGUGUAGAAAAAAUCCACAUUUUUGAAGAGAGUCUUUUGUGAAACAUAAAUCAAUCUCCGUCCGUUUGUGAAGCACUUUCCUCUGUUUGUGAAGCAUAAAUCCAUCUCCGUCCCAAUUUUAGUAAGCUUCUCUCUUUGGGUUCUCGAAGUUUGUAAAAUUUAUUUGUAAUGUUAAAUUCGUUCAAGGUUUUCUCUUGGUCUAUGGUAACUGAAAUAAUGGUAUAUCGUAGUUAAAUGUUCGAAAUUUGUUUCCUUUGAUGCUUUGAGUAUUUAAACCCUAUGUAAAAUUAAUCCUUUUGUGAUAUAACUUUAGGCAUAGCAACAAGAUUAAAUAAUAGACAUCUUCAGAAACAUGAGCUAUUCAUUAUUUGCAAGUUGUAAUGAUGUAGUUAAAAUUCUGUUUAUUUCGAAUUGUUGUCCGCUUAUCUAAUAGUAACUACAGAUUUUUGAAUGUGACUGCUUACGUGGCUUUUUGUUUACUUAUCUAACAAUUACUAUGGACGAAAUGCAAAUCGAGCACGAUGAUGUGUUGGCAGAAUCUGAUGAUGGGAAUGUUACGGACUUCGUUGACGUUGUGGACGGUGAAACCUCAGUGGGAGAUGGUGUGAUUGUGGCUAGGGUAGGUAUGGAGUUUAAGGAGUUUAAAGAUAUGUUUGAGUUGUACAAAAAAUAUGCUUAUGUAGUUGGAUUUCCAAUUAAGAAAAGGAAUUUGAAAAAGGGGGAUGAUAGAGAGUUGAGAUAUAUAACCUUGACAUGUAGCCGUGAAGGUCGAAGAAUCGGUAAUACUAGCGGUUCUUUCAAGCUGCAACCAACAAUACAGAUAGGUUUUAAAGCCAGGAUCUUUGCGUCAUUAGAUAUUCAUGGGGUAUGGAAAAUUAAUGAGGUCCACCUCAACCACAAUCAUGAAACCAACCUGUCGAAAUCUAGAUUAUAUCGAUGUAACCAAGAAUUGAGUUCACACGUGAAACGUAAGCUUGAAGUCAAUGAUUUGGCGAGAAUUACAUUGCAUAAAAGUUUCAAUUCUGCAGUUGUCGAAGCAGGUGGUUAUGAGAACAUGAGUUGCGUUGAGAAGGAUUGUCGAAAUUAUAUUGAACAAAUUAGGUGAUUAAGACUUGGUAAAGAAGAUGCUGAUGCAAUACAAGCAUACUUAUCAAAGAUGGAUGCACAGUGCUCGGGAUUUUACUUUAGCAUGGAUUUGGACGAUGAAUCCCAACUACAAAAUGUCUUUUAGGCAGAUAAUUGUUGCAGGCAAGCGUAUAAGAAAUUUGGCGAUAUUAUGUUUGAUACCACGUACCUGACAAACAAGUAUGAUAUGCUUUUCGCCCCAUUUAUUGGCGUUAAUCAUUACGGACAGUCAACAUUGUUUGGUUGUGGUUUGUGUCGAAUAAAGAUACAGAUACUUUCGUGUGGUUGUUCAGGACAUUGCUACAAUUUAUGCAUGGUUAUGCACUUCAUCAAAUAAUUACCGAUAAGAUAGAGUCAUGCAAAAUGCAAUUCAAAUUAUUUUUCCAAACACAAGGCAUAGACGGUAUUUGUGGCAUAUUUUAAAGAAAUUGCCAAGUUUUCAAUAUUUGGGGCUAUACAUGUAUUAGUUUAUGAUUCUCAAUUUGUUUAAGAAUUUAAAAAUGGGUAGGUUGCAAUGAUUGAAAAGUAUAGCUUGUAGGAUAGUGAUUGGUUAUCUGGCCUAUACGAGAAUUGAAGCCGCUGGAUUCCAUGUUUUUUGAAGACGACAUUUUGGACAGGGAUGUCAACAGCAUAAAGAAGUGAGAAUAUGAAUGCAUUCUUCGAUGGUUACGUGCAUUCCAUGACCUCGCUAAAGCAAUUUGUAGAACAAUCUGAACGAGCACUACGAAACAAGGUUGAAGAGGAGUUCCAGGCUGAUUUCAUAUCAUUUUCCCUAAUGGUAUCAUGCAGAACACAAUAUGAAAUUGAGCUACAAUUUCAGUCAAUUUACACCAUUGCAAAAUUUAGGGAAGCUCGGGAUGAAUUCAAGAGCAGGUUUACUAUGAUGUUAUAUCUACUUUGGGGGAACUUGUCGACGAUGUACGAGGUACGCGACGAUGUUAUGCAUUAUGGACGACGAAAGAAAAAAAAAAAUUCUUCGUCUCAUUUGAGAGAGAAUUGUGACAUUCUUUAUAGCUGCCAUUUGUUCGAGUUUCGAGGAAUUAUUUAUCACCAUGGAAUGGCAGUAUUGAUUUGUUGUAAUGUGACUUUACUUCCAAAUAGGUACAUACUGCAGAGAUAGAAAAGAGAUGUUAGUAGAAUACACAUGAGGGUCGCAGUGAAUUACGAUGGUUUGAUUAGUUCUCUGGAGCAGUUGAUAUACGACAAACUGUGUCGUGAGUCUCUGUAAGUAGCAGCCCUUGCUAUAGAUGACGAAAGGCAGUCGCGUGCGAUACUGGACUAGAUAAAACUUCAGUGCAAAGAACAUUUGAAGUCAAAAUGGUCAUAUAGUGGAAGUAAUGUGAUUUCGCAACAUACUAUUCAGGUAGCCGAUCAAUAUACCAAUUUGUAGAAUGAUGCCUGCAUGAACAUAUGAGACCCGAAAUCAUCGCGUAGAAAGGGGGGCCCAACAAAAUGAGGAAAAAAGGUUUGCUGGAGUCGAGUUUUUAUUCGUAUAAUUUAAACAACAAACGUUUAAAAAAAAUUGUACUAAAUACUUUAAAUGCACAUAUGGGGAAGUUCGACAUCAACCAAAGGAAAGAGACCUACUGCACGACAUACUGAUAUGCAAGAGAGUGGAGUCGACGUUCAUGAAGCUCAGCAACAAUACUACUCAGUGCAGUCACCGCUCUCUUGUCUACAAUAUUUGAUGUCGACAACAUUCCCAUUCUCACAGUAUACCAUCGUGACACCAUUCUCGUGUUCAAGGGUAUUACCGUUUUCAAAUUACAUCCCUCCGUCAUCAUCAAAUGUUAUAUAUAUAGUUCUCAAGGUAAGUUCGCACGGUCAAUAUGUUAAAGAUAAAUUCUCAAUGUUAUUUAAAAUAUGCAACAAAUAAUGUCCAUAUUGUAUUGUAGGCCAACCAAUGCCGUACUAUUAUCCAUAUUUAUCGGAUCACUGAGAAUCAGGUUUGUGUAAUGGAUUCCAAUUCUAAAACAAAUAUGAUGACAAAUACUUCUAUCACCAAUAGCUAUCUCAUUGGGAGAUAGUGCAUUUGUUUUUUUUUUUUUUGUUUUUGUUUUUUUUGUGUUCAGGUAGAGCAUUGUAAGAGGCAGGUGCAUAGACGGGUUGGCAGUUACCUGGUCACUGGUGCUACAAUUUACUGAUAAUGAAGAUAUCUUCCGCAAGCAAUUAGGCUUGGUGCUUCCGGUUGUUGUCCCUGCCAUAUACUAUGGCUCUCUGAUUUUGGUUGCUGCCUAUACCACGGAAAUUGCUGCUGCUGUUAAGAUUUGCUGCUUCUGUCUUCUACAAUUAGUUCUGUAAGAUGUUGAGAAGACCACCAAAGUUGUUUCUAUGUAUACAGCCUGCUCUCUAUUGCUGCUUCCUCAUUCCUUGCUAGUUUUCUGGGAAUAUUUGUGUACAAUCUAUUAUAUUUAAUUCAAGAAAUACCUCUCUCUCCAGUUUUG